AUCUGGCUGACGAGUCCUAACUUGAACGAAACGGGCGUCCUGGAU
Molecule: non-coding RNA, 45 nt
Filed under: Schistosoma mattheei
Lineage: Eukaryota; Metazoa; Platyhelminthes; Trematoda; Strigeidida; Schistosomatidae
Source: RNAcentral